AGGGUGCCUGAUCUGGCUGCUGCCAGGGGCGGGCGGGACGGCGCACCAUGUACACUCUCACCAAGGGGCCCAGCAAGCUGGUCGCGCAGCGCCGCACAGGUGCGCAGGGCGGGCGGGCAGGCGGGACGUCCUGACCGCUGGCCCCCGGCGGCUGACAGCGCCCUCCGCCCUGGCCCGCAGGUGCCACACAGCAGCAGGUGGAGAGCAGGCUUGGCGAGCUCCUGAAAUGCCGGCAGCCGGUGCCGCCGACCGCGCUACCCACGCGCGAGCAGCCCUCUGCACAGCCUCAGGGACCCUGGCCCCUUGCAAGUCCGGGGCCAAGGCUUGUGUUCAAUCGAGUGAAUGGCCGGAGGCCCCUCACCACCUCCCCAUCCCUCGAGGGGACCCAAGAGACCUACACAGUGGCCCACGAGGAGAACGUCCGAUUUGUGUCCGAAGCCUGGCAGCAGGUAGAGCGACAGCUGGAUGGCUGCCCUGCCGAUGACGGUGGCCCACGGCCUGUGCAGUAUGUGGAGAGCACUCCUGAUCCCCGGCUACAGAACUUUGUACCUAUUGACCUGGAUGAGUGGUGGGCACAGCAGUUCCUGGCUAAAAUCACCAACUGUUCCUAACAGCUGUCCGGGAAGGAAUGUUGCCAUAGUGGACCCUUUGCCAGAAGAGGACCAUGGUGCGCUGGUCCACCUUGUGGCUUGGCUGGGUACCGGCCACACCUGAAGUGCCAACAUUUGGACUUUUGCACCUGUUGUUCCCUUGGCUUGGCUGUCCCAAGAUGCCAGAGUCAGGGGUCAAACCUAUCUAACCUCAGUCCUGCUCACUGUGCCCAGGGACAAGCCCCUGGGGCUGGCAGGGAGGAGUUCAGGCUAAUAAAGUUGAUAAACUGCCC
This 883-nucleotide long non-coding RNA is filed under the name Rattus norvegicus (Norway rat). RNAcentral's name for it is "long non-coding RNA NONRATT005300". Lineage: Eukaryota; Metazoa; Chordata; Mammalia; Rodentia; Muridae. The record is from RNAcentral.